RNAcentral lists this ribosomal RNA (449 nucleotides) under uncultured bacterium. RNAcentral's name for it is "bacterial SSU rRNA". It matches the Rfam family "Bacterial small subunit ribosomal RNA", at positions 335 to 774 of the family's 1533-position model. The record is from RNAcentral.
ACUCCUACGGGAGGCAGCAGUGGGGAAUAUUGCACAAUGGGGGAAACCCUGAUGCAGCCAUGCCGCGUGUGUGAAGAAGGCCUUCGGUUGUAAAGCACUUUCAGUAGGGAGGAAGGUAGUGUAGUUAAUACCUGCAUUAUUUGACGUUACCUACAGAAGAAGCACCGGCUAACUCCGUGCCAGCAGCCGCGGUAAUACGGAGGGGUGCGAGCGUUAAUCGGAAUUACUGGGCGUAAAGCGCAUGCAGGCGGCCUGUUAAGUCAGAUGUGAAAGCCCGGGGGCUUAACCUCGGAAUUGCAUUUGAAACUGGCAGGCUAGAGUCUUGUAGAGGGGGUAGAAUUUCAGGUGUAGCGUGAAAUGCGUAGAGAUCUGAAGGAACACCAGUGGCGAAGGCGGCUCGACUAGGCUCGAUACUGACGCUGAGGUAGCGAAAGUGUGGGGAAGCAACG